UGGGGAAUAUUGGACAAUGGGGGCGACCCUGAUCCAGCCAUGCCGCGUGAGUGAUGACGGCCUUCGGGUUGUAAAGCUCUUUUACAUGGGAAGAUAAUGACGGUACCAUGAGAAUAAGCACCGGCAAACUUCGUGCCAGCAGCCGCGGUAAUACGAAGGGUGCGAGCGUUGUUCGGAAUUACUGGGUGUAAAGGGCGUGUAGGCGGAUGCGCGAGUUAGUGGUGAAACCCCUGGGCUUAACCUGGGAACUGCCAUUGAUACUGUGUAUCUUGAGUAUCGGAGAGGAUAACGGAAUAUCCAGUGUAGAGGUGAAAUUCGUAGAUAUUGGAUAGAACACCGGUGGCGAAGGCGGUUAUCUGGCCGAUUACUGACGCUGAGGCGCGAGAGCGUGGGGAGCAAA
RNAcentral lists this ribosomal RNA (400 nucleotides) under uncultured bacterium. RNAcentral's name for it is "bacterial SSU rRNA". It matches the Rfam family "Bacterial small subunit ribosomal RNA", at positions 355 to 772 of the family's 1533-position model. The record is from RNAcentral.